This 634-nucleotide ribosomal RNA is filed under the name Trametes versicolor. Its description in RNAcentral is "eukaryotic LSU rRNA". The stretch from base 240 to 393 matches the Rfam family "5.8S ribosomal RNA". The record is from RNAcentral. Lineage: Eukaryota; Fungi; Basidiomycota; Agaricomycetes; Polyporales; Polyporaceae.
GGAAGUAAAAGUCGUAACAAGGUUUCCGUAGGUGAACCUGCGGAAGGAUCAUUAACGAGUUUUGAAACGAGUUGUAGCUGGCCUUCCGAGGCAUGUGCACGCUCUGCUCAUCCACUCUACCCCUGUGCACUUACUGUAGGUUGGCGUGGGCUCCUUAACGGGAGCAUUCUGCCGGCCUAUGUAUACUACAAACACUUUAAAGUAUCAGAAUGUAAACGCGUCUAACGCAUCUAUAAUACAACUUUUAGCAACGGAUCUCUUGGCUCUCGCAUCGAUGAAGAACGCAGCGAAAUGCGAUAAGUAAUGUGAAUUGCAGAAUUCAGUGAAUCAUCGAAUCUUUGAACGCACCUUGCGCUCCUUGGUAUUCCGAGGAGCAUGCCUGUUUGAGUGUCAUGGAAUUCUCAACUUAUAAAUCCUUGUGAUCUAUAAGCUUGGACUUGGAGGCUUGCUGGCCCUUGUUGGUCGGCUCCUCUUGAAUGCAUUAGCUCGAUUCCGUACGGAUCGGCUCUCAGUGUGAUAAUUGUCUACGCUGUGACCGUGAAGUGUUUUGGCGAGCUUCUAACCGUCCAUUAGGACAACUUUUUAACAUCUGACCUCAAAUCAGGUAGGACUACCCGCUGAACUUAAGCAUAUC